Molecule: transfer RNA, 72 nt
Filed under: Balaenoptera acutorostrata scammoni
Lineage: Eukaryota; Metazoa; Chordata; Mammalia; Artiodactyla; Balaenopteridae
Description: tRNA-Ala (TGC) (tRNA-Ala-TGC-22-1)
Rfam family: tRNA
About the family: Transfer RNA (tRNA) molecules are approximately 80 nucleotides in length. Their secondary structure includes four short double-helical elements and three loops (D, anti-codon, and T loops).
Source: RNAcentral
UCCCUGGCGGUCCAGUGGUUAGGACUUGGCGCUUGCACUGCCAGGGCCUGGGUUCAAUCCCUGGUCAGGGAA